RNAcentral lists this ribosomal RNA (433 nucleotides) under uncultured bacterium. RNAcentral describes it as "partial 16S ribosomal RNA". It matches the Rfam family "Bacterial small subunit ribosomal RNA", at positions 29 to 507 of the family's 1533-position model. The record is from RNAcentral.
AACGAACGCUGGCGGCAUGCCUAACACAUGCAAGUCGAACGAGACCUUCGGGUCUAGUGGCGCACGGGUGCGUAACGCGUGGGAACCUGCCCUUAGGUUCGGAAUAACUCCCCGAAAGGGGUGCUAAUACCGGAUAAUGUCUUCGGACCAAAGAUUUAUCGCCUUUGGAUGGGCCCGCGUUGGAUUAGCUAGUUGGUAGGGUAAAAGCCUACCAAGGCUACGAUCCAUAGCUGGUCUGAGAGGAUGAUCAGCCACACUGGGACUGAGACACGGCCCAGACUCGUACGGGAGGCAGCAGUGGGGAAUAUUGGACAAUGGGCGAAAGCCUGAUCCAGCAAUGCCGCGUGAGUGAUGAAGGCCUUAGGGUUGUACAGCUCUUUUACCCGGGAUGAUAAUGACAGUACCGGGAGAAUAAGCUCCGGCUAACUCCGUG